CAAUCCGUCGUAUUCCUUUGUCUUCUUGUCACAAAAAGAAUUUCAUCGAUCUGGAAGGGGAGUUUUACUUACGUAAAUGGAUGUAGACCAGACUCAAACAUGUGAGAACUGUGUUAAUGUGGAUUUAUAAGCCUCUGAAUGAAUUUCUAAGGCACCUAAGCUAUUGUUUCUUAAAAUAAGGUUAGUUUCUGUCUAUUCAAGUCAGUUCAUAGGGCUUCUCGUGAGUAGGAAAGUGGAUUCACAAACUCACAGGCCUUCCUUCUUUAAGGACCCUGUGAGGUGAUAUUAUGACCUCCACUUCACUAUGCCUCAGAAGGAAUUGAGGCAAUGAGAAAUAAAGUGGUUUAUCGAAGAUUACACAGCAAGUAGUGGAGCCACAAUUUGAACGAGUGGAGACAGGAUUUCACCAUAUCGGCCAGGCUGGCCUCGAACUCCCAACCUCAGGUGAUCCGCCUUGGCCUCCCAAAGAGCUGGAAUUACAGGUGUGAGCCACCGGGCCUGGCCAGAUAUAACAUUUCUUUUUAUAACAUGUGUUCCUUUCUUGAAAUUCAUAUUGUAUAUCAACAUGCACAUUUUUUAAAGUCAUUAUAA
Long non-coding RNA from Rhinopithecus roxellana (golden snub-nosed monkey), 591 nucleotides. RefSeq lists it as uncharacterized. The record is from RefSeq and is a predicted model, not a curated record. The transcript has 3 exons. Lineage: Eukaryota; Metazoa; Chordata; Mammalia; Primates; Cercopithecidae.